CCUACGGGAGGCAGCAGUGAGGAAUAUUGGUCAAUGGACGAGAGUCUGAACCAGUCAAGUAGCGUGAAGGAUGACUGCCCUAUGGGUUGUAAACUUCUUUUAUAAAGGAAUAAAACGAGGCACGUGUGCCUUUUUGCAUGUACUUUAUGAAUAAGGAUCGGCUAACUCCGUGCCAGCAGCCGCGGUAAUACGGAGGAUCCGAGCGUUAUCCGGAUUUAUUUGGUUUAAAGGGAGCGUAGAUGGGUUGUUAAGUCAGUUGUGAAAGUUUGCGGCUCAACCGUAAAAUUGCAAUUGAUACUGGCAGUCUUGAGUACAGUUGAGGUAGGCGGAAUUCGUGGUGUAGCGGUGAAAUGCUUAGAUAUCACGAAGAACCCCGAUUGCGAAGGCAGCUUACUAAACUGUGACUGACAUUGAUGCUCGAAAGUGUGGGUAUCAAACAGGAUUAGAUACCCCGGUAGUC
Molecule: ribosomal RNA, 460 nt
Filed under: uncultured bacterium
Lineage: Bacteria
Description: partial 16S ribosomal RNA
Rfam family: Bacterial small subunit ribosomal RNA
Source: RNAcentral